Molecule: ribosomal RNA, 44 nt
Filed under: Fusarium oxysporum
Lineage: Eukaryota; Fungi; Ascomycota; Sordariomycetes; Hypocreales; Nectriaceae
Also listed under: 6 other names
Description: partial 28S ribosomal RNA
Source: RNAcentral
GUUGUUACGAUCUGCUGAGGGUAAGCCGUCCUUCGCCUCGAUUU